GGCGGAAAAUCCUCGGAAGAUGUGGCAUUACUACCGACGCCGGUACCUGCUGCAUUGAGAGCAGAGGCGCUGCCACUACCGCUGCCCCUUCGAGGGAACAUUGCCGGGUGCGCCAUCUUCCUAGCGCUAAUGUCUGCAGCGGCGGCGGCCGCGGCGGUGGACUCAGGCGGCUGGUGCAUUGUGUUGGGUACCGGGGGCGCGGAGGAGACGAGUGCAAUUUCCUUCUGCACCGUAAUCUUUGUAUUGGAGACGCCGGAGAGGAAAACGGGACCUGACGCUCCGCCUGGCGCGAUUCCUCCUUCUCCUCCUCCUCAGCCAAAGGCGCCGGUCGCUCCUGCCUUCGAGAGCGAGCUUCGGAAAGGAGGAUGAACGAGGCCGGCUCUUCCUCACCCCGCUGCUCCCGCGACCGGGCGGGAGAGGGCCGCAGGCGGCGGCGGCUCCUUUCUCCGCGGCGUUGGUGGCCAGACGGGCUGGUGCAGCGACUGCAGCCGACGCCGUUCAAAGGAACGAGUUGCUGCCAUGCGGUCCCCUCGCCCUUCCACGGGCAGGGGCGAGGCGGCCGGGCAGAUGUUGCAGCUGUUUCCAGUUAACUGCCUGAGCUCCUCUGGGCUAGGCUCUUCUCUAACGAGGAGUGGUUGCAAUCCAUCCUUAACUGGAGGACAGAAGCAGGCCGGCCCUGUAAUCGACUGACCUCAACAGGUGUCUCCAAGCAGCGACGCCUUUUUCGUUCAUCGUCCUGGCUAUAUCCCCCAUUGGUUUGACUCAGGAGGCAAGGUGGUCCGGACAUGUGAGCAACACAAAUGAUAAGAAUGCCUUUUAGGGCUAGAAAAGAAAAAGCCAUCCGAAAUUCCAGUUUUAAAAUACACACACACACACACGUUACAUUUCAUGGGUCCAAAUGUAGUUCUACAGAAGCAAUGUUAGGUUUGAUUGGGGGCAAUUUACUGGCGGUUACUUUCUUGGUAUUUCAUGUCAAAACCUAGUUCUAAGCGUUUCUUACCAAUAAUCGAGAAUGUAAGUCUUUCCCAGGAAUUUAAAAAUGAUAAAGCAAGCCGAAAAACUGUAGGGAGGAAUUUUCAUUUUGUUAAAUUUAGGUUGUUAGGGGAAUCAACGCUUAUGGUUAGACCUCUGAUUCAGGAAGUCUCAAGGAUUUACAUUCCUAUUUCAGAAGAUUGUUAAAGCAAAAACGAUUGUCAUUUGCAGUUUUGAUACACCUCUAGUUGUCAGUUCAACUUUUUACCUUUAGUUUUCUCUGAACUCUUCCCCUUGUUCCAAGGGGAAGCUUUCAAAAAGUGAAUUAUGUCACCAUUUGCAUGUUAUUGAAUAGAAGUGCACUCUUAACAUCCCAUUUAUCCAGUGUCAAAGCUAUGAUACAUUGUUGCUUUAUGUGGGGUCUCCCACACUGAAAAGAAAAACCCGGACUUCAUUUAUUUAUUUAUUUAUUUAUUUAUUUAUUUAUUACUUUAUAUUGCUAAUGUAAACCUCUGCUAGAAGUAAAUAGGCUCUCGCAAAUAUUCAAAGUGAUACAGUAAUAAACAUCAAAUAUGUUUGAGAAGACUACUUGUUCUAUGAUAUUAAUAUGUGAUUGGUUGUUUUUAUAGAACUAUGGCUAUUUGUGUUUUCACAAAAAUAAUUUCUUUUUUACUUUUUGAGCUUUUGUUGCAAGUAAUAUGCCUGGUUAAUCGCUGCCAUCCAUUGUUGAAAUGCAAAUUUGACAUUCUUUUUCAAUAGUUUUUGAAUGGAAAAUAGAAACUACCCUAACCGAUUGAAACUGCAAUGGAAUGUAGAUGGGUGGAAUGUCCUUUCUUUGGACUGCAGUAUGAAAGAAAAUGCUCUUGAUCUCUCAAAAUGUAGCCUUAAGUCAAAGGUUUUUUGUUUUGUUUUGUUUUGUUUUUUAAGUCAAAGUUUUAAAUUACCCCAAACAGCAGCUGUAUACCCUUUGGGCCACCUAAAUAACUCACCAUGAUUGUGCUGAUAUGCUUUGACGCUUAAUAAACACAUAUAUUAAAGUCUUACCCAAAGCUGAUAGAGUAAAAGAGCUGUUGAGAUAGCCCCUCUGGAAGCAGAUACUUGUUCUAAUGACCAGUAGCAAAGGGUACUGUUUGAGCUGUUUUGAUGGGGGAGGAAGGGUUGGGGUGUUAUUCCCUUUAAAAUAAAGGUUUAAAAAAAAAUCCAGAAUUUAAGACGUAAGAAAAUAAGAUCUUUUGAAGUGUAUUAAUUUUUGCCUGCCAUAUCACUUUCAAACUCCUGCUUAGGCUGCAUCAAGUCCCACUAAGAUAUAAAGAGCAAGUCAGCCGGGCGCGGUGGCUCGUGCCUAUAAUCCCAGCACUUUAGGAGGCUGAGGCGGGCGGAUCACGAGGUGAGGAGAUCAAGACCAUUCUGGCUAACGCAGUGAAACCCCAUCUCUACUAAAAAUACGAAAAAUUAGCUGGGCGUGGUGGCAGGUGCCUGUAGUCCCAGCUACGUGAGAAGCUGAGGCAGGGGAAUGUCGUGAACCUGGGAGGCGGAGCUUGCAGUGAGCCGAGAUCAGGCCACUACACUCCAGCCUGGGCGACAGAGCGAGACUCCGUCUCAAAAAAAUAAAAAUAAAAAAUAAAAAAUAAAAAGGGCAACUCUACAGUUAGGGAAAUCUGAGUUUCAAAAAUCUGGGUCUCUCCCCCUCCAAAAUUCUUACGACAGCAAUAUAUGAACACAAAUACGUUGAAACAAGGAGAAGGCACCUCAAGAGCCAGAUUUUGUUAUACUAUCAUCUUUUAAUUAAAAAGGUCUGGAUUUUUAUUAUAUAAACAUUAAAUGCCGACUGCUAUGUAUAAUAAAGUCAUUAAAUCCUUUAAACCAAGUAAAAAAAAAAAAAAAA
Molecule: long non-coding RNA, 2857 nt
Filed under: Homo sapiens (human)
Lineage: Eukaryota; Metazoa; Chordata; Mammalia; Primates; Hominidae
Description: TSC22D1 antisense RNA 1 (TSC22D1-AS1)
Source: RNAcentral